Vitis riparia (riverbank grape) is the source of this 315-nucleotide long non-coding RNA. RefSeq lists it as uncharacterized. The record is from RefSeq and is a predicted model, not a curated record. Lineage: Eukaryota; Viridiplantae; Streptophyta; Magnoliopsida; Vitales; Vitaceae. The transcript has 2 exons.
UUUUUUUCUUUUGCUAUUUGAUUUGGUUGGAUAGGGUUGAUUAAUGGUGCCAGAAGAUACAAAGGUUUAUAGGCUGGAACAGGCUCAAAUCAGAAGCAAUCGUCUCAGAGAAAUUCAAGCCUCAUAGAUCACUGAAAGUUAUUCUCAUGAUUAUCAUGUGGAAUUUGUUAUACCACACUCUCUUCCUCUUCUCUCCCUAUCUUAUCUGAAAAUGUUUUGUCAACUUUUUGAGAAUCAUCUUUCAAAGCUUUUCACUAAUACUUUGUAAAACAAAUAUAUAUUUGAAAAUUUUAAAUAUUAUUAAACACUUUUUUG